Molecule: long non-coding RNA, 454 nt
Filed under: Sinocyclocheilus anshuiensis
Lineage: Eukaryota; Metazoa; Chordata; Actinopteri; Cypriniformes; Cyprinidae
Description: lncRNA (ENSSANG00000009068.1)
Source: RNAcentral
UGGAAUCGGCUCCAAUGACGCCAGUCUGGAAACUGUUGCUGUCGUCGCGUGCGGGUUGACGCGCAGCGGUGCGUUUCUUGGGCGCGUUUGGGGAUGUGAGUGAAUGACCCGCGUCCAGAUCAGCGGAACGCGUGCAGGUGUGUGUGUGUGUGUGUGUGACGGACAUCAUCAUGCUCAAAGGCUCUCAGUGAUCCGCUCCUUCCCAUGAUUCCACACCAGGCCGCCCCAUGCCAGCCCGUAACCACGAUGACUGCUCGCCCCCGUGAGCUCCUCCUCUGUCGCCCGGCGGCCGUUUGACUGGAUGAGGAACCCAGCCUCCAGUGAUGUGAUGCACAGGUUUGAGGUUCUUGGGAUUGUGGGGGAAGGAGCUUACGGUGUCGUCCUGAAGUGCAGACACAAGGUAAGAGCUCAGACACACAAGUUCAUGUCGUUUUUAAACCCACAAAGCACUAGU